RNAcentral lists this ribosomal RNA (699 nucleotides) under Triticum aestivum (bread wheat). RNAcentral describes it as "partial small subunit ribosomal RNA". Lineage: Eukaryota; Viridiplantae; Streptophyta; Magnoliopsida; Poales; Poaceae. The record is from RNAcentral.
AUGGCUGUGGGGACGGGAGAGCAGGUGAAGCUGUUGGGGGCGUGGGCGAGCCCGUACGUGGCCAGGGUGAAGCUGGCGCUCCACCUCAAGGGUGUGAGCUACGAAUACAUGGAGGAGGACCUCACCAACAAGAGCGAGCGGCUCCUCCGCUCCAACCCCGUCAACAAGAAGGUGCCCGUGCUCAUCCAUGGCGGUAAACCAAUCUGCGAGUCCCAGGUAAUCGUCCAAUACAUCGACGAGGCCUUCGCCUCUGUAGGCCCGACCCUUCUCCCCGCCGACCCCCACGAGCGCGCCGUUGCCCGCUUCUGGGCCACCUACGUCGACGACAAGGUCUUGUUGCCGUGGGGAAUGCUCUUGAGGGCCAAGACGGACGAGGAGAGGGCAGAGUGGACGAGGCAGACCCUCGCAGCGGUUGAUGUGCUAGAAGAAGGCGUGAGGGAGUGCUCAAAGCGCAAGGUGUUCUUUGGCGGUGACGACGUGGGCUACCUCGACGUCCUGCUCGGGGGCAUGGUCCCAUGGGUGUACGCGACCAAGAAGAUAUCCGGUCACAACUUCUUGGACGCCAGCAAGGCCCCGCUGCUGGCGGCAUGGAUGGAGCGCUUCGCGGAGCUGGACGGUACCAAGGCGGUGUUCCAGGACGUUGACAGCUUGGUAGAGUACGUUGGGACCGUACUUUACGGAACGACUGUAAGCAACUGA